Molecule: ribosomal RNA, 459 nt
Filed under: uncultured bacterium
Lineage: Bacteria
Description: partial 16S ribosomal RNA
Rfam family: Bacterial small subunit ribosomal RNA
Source: RNAcentral
CCUACGGGGCGCAGCAGUGAGGAAUAUUGGUCAAUGGCCGCAGGGCUGAACCAGCCAAGUCGCGUGAGGGAUGACGGUUCUAUGGAUUGUAAACCUCUUUUGUCAGGGAGAAAAGGGCGCCACGUGUGGCGUUUUGCGAGUACCUUAAGAAAAAGCAUCGGCUAACUCCGUGCCAGCAGCCGCGGUAAUACGGAGGAUUCGAGCGUUAUCCGGAUUUAUUGGGUUUAAAGGGUGCGCAGGCGGAAUGUCAAGUCAGCGGUAAAAUUUCGGGGCUCAACCCCGUCGUGCCGUUGAAACUGGUGUUCUUGAGUGGGCGAGAGGUAUGCGGAAUGCGUGGUGUAGCGGUGAAAUGCAUAGAGAUCACGCAGAACUCCGAUUGCGAAGGCAGCAUACCAACUCACAACUGACGCUCAUGCACGAAAGCGUGGGUAUCAAACAGGAUUAGAUACCCUAGUAGUC